ACUCCUACCGGAGGCAGCAGUGAGGAAUAUUGGUCAAUGGGCGGGAGCCUGAACCAGCCAAGUCGCGUGAGGGAUGACGGCCCUAUGGGUUGUAAACCUCUUUUGCCGGGGAGCAAAGUGCCGCACGUGUGCGGUUUGGAGAGUACCCGGAGAAAAAGCAUCGGCUAACUCCGUGCCAGCAGCCGCGGUAAUACGGAGGAUGCGAGCGUUAUCCGGAUUUAUUGGGUUUAAAGGGUGCGUAGGCGGGCAUUUAAGCCGGCGGUCAAAUUUCGGGGCUCAACCCCGGCCUGCCGUCGGA
RNAcentral lists this ribosomal RNA (298 nucleotides) under uncultured bacterium. RNAcentral's name for it is "partial 16S ribosomal RNA". It matches the Rfam family "Bacterial small subunit ribosomal RNA", at positions 335 to 631 of the family's 1533-position model. The record is from RNAcentral.